This 132-nucleotide small RNA is filed under the name Klebsiella quasipneumoniae. RNAcentral describes it as "RtT sRNA". It matches the Rfam family "RtT RNA". Rfam says of the family: This family represents a bacterial cis-regulatory element known as RtT RNA. The exact function of RtT is unknown although it is thought that it may be involved in changing the cellular response in relation to amino acid starvation. The record is from RNAcentral. Lineage: Bacteria; Pseudomonadati; Pseudomonadota; Gammaproteobacteria; Enterobacterales; Enterobacteriaceae.
UGCAUCUGCGGCCAGUGAGGAUGAGACCCUCCGGGGCAGGAGGUUCGACUCGAGCGAAGCGAGAGAACGUUGCGUCAGCAACGGCCCGCAGGGCGCGCCACAAAGUGGCGAGUCAUCCUCUAUCACCGACCA